AAUGUCUCUAACGUGUGUGGGCUGGAAUGCAUUUUGUUUUUUCUGUAGGUAUAUUCAUUUAACAACGGGAGUCUCUGAGGAGCUAUCAAAAACUGCUUGCCAUCUUUCCAAAUCAUCUCUGUCUGCAGUGACCAUGUCUUAAUCCUGAAGGAAAACAAGAAACCAAAAAUGCAGAAAAGAACUCCAGCACUCAGAUUAAUACAUGGAAUACCACAACGAAGAAAGAAACCAUGUUCGUCGUGCAUUGAGGCGUGUUUUCAUUCUUGAACUUUACUUGGACCUCACUGUGGGCCUUCAGCAGUCAGCACGUAGCACUAUACAGUCCUGUCUUCUGUUUUAGACAAGUUUCUUUUUUCUGCUUUGCAAAAAAAAAAAGAAGAAGAAGAAAUGUAAAGAAAAUACACAACAACAAUAACACUAAUCCCUCAACAAUAAUUUCUUCUCUAAAAAUAGUUCAAGAAGAAAAAUAAAAGGAUCUUGCUGUAUAUUUUUUGUAUCUACAUUGAAUUAUCUAGUCUUCAUAAUUUUCCACCUGGUUUUAAAAACAAACAUCACGAUUUUAGUUCUCUAUCAUGUUAUAAGCAACAAAUGAAAGAGUUAUGACUUAUCCACAGGAAAAAAAACAACAACCUGGAGAACUCACUUCAUAUGAGAUCAAUAAUGUUGCCCUCAUGCACAUGUGUAUAUAAAUUUUGCAAGUCUUUUUUACAGAUGUUUCUCAAAUGCCACUAGCUCAUAGAAAAUAACAAAUCCUCUAGUUUUCUAGUAACCAAAAUCAAUAAGACAUGGAAUCUUCAUCAGUCAAGAGUCAAGUGUUUUGAAGUUUUCAUACAUGUGUUUAAACCUAAACACACGUAUUGCAUAGUAUUACUAGCAAAUUGGAUAUAUUAAGGUUUACAACUUCAUUGAUGCAACUAAACCGUUUUAUGCAAUUUUUAGGGUGAUAGAAAUCUAGUAAUAAAAAGUGACAUCUAAACUGAGCCUUUACUUUUUUUGUUAUGAAUUUCCUAAAAUAAUAUGAUCUUUUAUAUAUAUUUUUAAAUAGGAUGUGUGUCUUGAGUUGACUUUCUGAUAGUAAAAAUGAGUUUUCCUCAAUACAUGUGCCUAAAGGUUCCAUGAAUGAUAGCACACAUUUGUGAGACAGCUGGCCAAGGUAAGAGGGAUUUAUGUUCAUGCAAAGGCAAUAUGUUCAAAUCAGGAUGAACCUGCAAGUUCACACUAGCACCACAUUUUACCCAACCAUAUGGAUAAAUCUGAAUCUGAAAUGCUUAUAUUUACUUAGAUUUUCCACAAUCCUUUUUUGAAAAUGAAAAUCCAGAAAAAUCUACCAAUUCACCCAGAAUUCUUCACUUUGACAUGGCAACUACUAGAAUCAACAAGAAGUGCUAUAGGUAGAGGUCAAUUUGUCCUUGUCUGAGAAGACAAACAGUCAAAGGACAUAGUGGUAAAGAAACUAAGGAGCCCUCGUUUCUCUAUCUUCUUAUGUUGAAGUGCAACUUGAUCUCUUCCCAUUUCACUCUGUAUUAGAGACAUCAUGUUGUUUAUGUCAUUAGGAUAUCUUUCAAAGACAGUCGGCAGUGAGGUGAGACCACAGCAACCAGUGGUUCUUCUUCCUAUCAAUUUCUUCAGAUAUAAACCCUAAAUACAAACCUUACAAAGAAAUCUCUUGUUAACUUGCCCUUUCAAUUUACUUACAAAUCUCUGCUUCUUCCUUCCUCGAUCCUGUUUUUCACCAACACUUCAAGAGCUAGAACAAUCUCUUGUUACUGAGGGAAGAGAUUGACAUGCUAUUCAAAUGAGUUACUAUUCACUGAUGAAUAAGCGAUGAUGCUGAGUUGCAUGAUGAACUCAGCAAUCAGUGAAGGUUACUGGGCUCAUUUCCUUUUGUUUUGGGAAUAAUAAGAGUACAUUAUCAAGGAGAAUUACAUAAACAUAUAUUCUAUUAAAACUCCAGGGGCCUGGUAGAGUUCCAACCAACAGAGAAUUUUCUGAAUAAACCAUAACCUUGGGGCCCGAGAGGACCAAGUUCAAGCUUUCAAAACCACACAAUCAGGCUCUCUUUUAAAGAGAUGCUUAUGUAAUGUUUUAACGAUUAUUUGGGGAGUGAAAGUUUUAGCUGGUUAAGUGGCUAUUUUCUUUGUAACACUACCAAUAGACUAUUUACCUAAAUGUCUUAUUGACUAAUUCCUCUUUUUUCAUAUCUCAAGAUUUAGAGACACAUACUAACACAAAUACAUGCUAGGCAUGUAAUUUGGUAUGGUAUCAACGUCAUAUUUGAGUGUGAAUAGCUAAUUUUGGCAAUCAUUUUGCAACCUGAUCAUUAGUGAUUUCUUAGGAUUUUUUUUUCUUUUUUGACAAGUUCUCACUUUGCCACCCAGGCUGGAGUGCAGCGGCGCAAUCUCGGCUCACUGGAGCCUCAACCUCCUGGGCUCAAGUGAUCAUCUCACCUCAGUCCCCCGAGUAGCUGGGACUAUAGGCCUGUGCCACCACUCCCAGCUAAUAUUUUGUAUUAUUUUGUAGAGAUGGGGUUUUACCAUGUUGCUCAGGCUGGUCUUGAACUUCUGAGCUCAAGCGAUCCACCCACCUCGGCCUUCCAAAGUGCUAGGAUUACAAGCGUGAGCCACCGCGCAGGCUGCAUACGGAUUUUUUAUUUUUAACACAGGCAUUUAAUCUCCAGUUUAACAAUUACCUAUUCUUGGGUAGGAAUGAACCCCAGUGUAGCCCUUCAGAACACAAUUGUAAGUAUCUGUGAUAUUCCUAUUCCAAAAAUAUCCUCCUAUUCUAAAGGAAAAUAUGGUCGAAAUAUUAAAUCCAUUCUUUAGAAGGUCACCUGACGUUUACUCUUCAUUUACCUUCUCCUCCCAUGAAAACCCCCUGUGCCUACUGCCCCAUGCUGGGGACCUUUAGACAAAAGCAUGGUGGUGAAUCAAACUUGCAGUUCAAACCCUGAAAGAGACUUUAUUAAAAUGGACAACAGAUGUGAACAAAGAAAAGAAA
Molecule: long non-coding RNA, 2997 nt
Organism: Pongo pygmaeus (Bornean orangutan)
Lineage: Eukaryota; Metazoa; Chordata; Mammalia; Primates; Hominidae
Exons: 2
Source: RefSeq, a predicted model, not a curated record